This 1428-nucleotide ribosomal RNA is filed under the name uncultured organism. Its description in RNAcentral is "partial small subunit ribosomal RNA". It matches the Rfam family "Bacterial small subunit ribosomal RNA". The record is from RNAcentral.
UGGACGAACGCUGGCGGCGUGCUUAACACAUGCAAGUCGAACGGAAAGGCCCUGCUUUUGUGGGGUGCUCGAGUGGCGAACGGGUGAGUAACACGUGAGUAACCUGCCCUUGACUUUGGGAUAACUUCAGGAAACUGGGGCUAAUACCGGAUAGGAGCUCCUGCUGCAUGGUGGGGGUUGGAAAGUUUCGGCGGUUGGGGAUGGACUCGCGGCUUAUCAGCUUGUUGGUGGGGUAGUGGCUUACCAAGGCUUUGACGGGUAGCCGGCCUGAGAGGGUGACCGGCCACAUUGGGACUGAGAUACGGCCCAGACUCCUACGGGAGGCAGCAGUGGGGAAUAUUGCACAAUGGGCGGAAGCCUGAUGCAGCAACGCCGCGUGCGGGAUGACGGCCUUCGGGUUGUAAACCGCUUUCGCCUGUGACGAAGCGUGAGUGACGGUAAUGGGUAAAGAAGCACCGGCUAACUACGUGCCAGCAGCCGCGGUGAUACGUAGGGUGCGAGCGUUGUCCGGAUUUAUUGGGCGUAAAGGGCUCGUAGGUGGUUGAUCGCGUCGGAAGUGUAAUCUUGGGGCUUAACCCUGAGCGUGCUUUCGAUACGGGUUGACUUGAGGAAGGUAGGGGAGAAUGGAAUUCCUGGUGGAGCGGUGGAAUGCGCAGAUAUCAGGAGGAACACCAGUGGCGAAGGCGGUUCUCUGGGCCUUUCCUGACGCUGAGGAGCGAAAGCGUGGGGAGCGAACAGGCUUAGAUACCCUGGUAGUCCACGCUGUAAACGGUGGGUACUAGGUGUGGGGUCCAUUCCACGGGUUCCGUGCCGUAGCUAACGCUUUAAGUACCCCGCCUGGGGAGUACGGCCGCAAGGCUAAAACUCAAAGGAAUUGACGGGGCCCCGCACAAGCGGCGGAGCAUGCGGAUUAAUUCGAUGCAACGCGUAGAACCUUACCUGGGUUUGACAUGGAUCGGGAGUGCUCAGAGAUGGGUGUGCCUCUUUUGGGGUCGGUUCACAGGUGGUGCAUGGCUGUCGUCAGCUCGUGUCGUGAGAUGUUGGGUUAAGUCCCGCAACGAGCGCAACCCUUGUUCACUGUUGCCAGCACGUUAUGGUGGGGACUCAGUGGAGACCGCCGGGGUCAACUCGGAGGAAGGUGGGGAUGACGUCAAGUCAUCAUGCCCCUUAUGUCCAGGGCUUCACGCAUGCUACAAUGGCUGGUACAGAGAGUGGCGAGCCUGUGAGGGUGAGCGAAUCUCGGAAAGCCGGUCUCAGUUCGGAUUGGGGUCUGCAACUCGACCUCAUGAAGUCGGAGUCGCUAGUAAUCGCAGAUCAGCAACGCUGCGGUGAAUACGUUCCCGGGGCUUGUACACACCGCCCGUCAAGUCAUGAAAGUUGGUAACACCCGAAGCCAAUGGCCUAACCGUUGUGGGGGAGCCGUCGAAG